UACGGAGGGUGCAAGCGUUGUCCGGAUUUAUUGGGUUUAAAGGGUGCGUAGGCGGCUUAUUAAGUCAGUGUUUAAAGCCUUCAGCUUAACUGAAGAAAUGGCAUUGAUACUGAUAAGCUUGAGUAAAGUUGAGGUAGACAGAAUUGAUGGUGUAGCGGUGAAAUGCAUAGAUAUCAUCAAGAAUACCGAUUGCGAAGGCAGUUUACUAAGCUUUAACUGACGCUGAGGCACGAAAGUGUGGGGAUCAAACAGG
Molecule: unclassified non-coding RNA, 253 nt
Filed under: uncultured Cytophagales bacterium
Lineage: Bacteria; Pseudomonadati; Bacteroidota; Sphingobacteriia; Sphingobacteriales
Description: contains 16S-23S intergenic spacer region
Rfam family: Bacterial small subunit ribosomal RNA
Source: RNAcentral